RNAcentral lists this ribosomal RNA (458 nucleotides) under uncultured bacterium. Its description in RNAcentral is "partial 16S ribosomal RNA". It matches the Rfam family "Bacterial small subunit ribosomal RNA", at positions 28 to 507 of the family's 1533-position model. The record is from RNAcentral.
GACGAACGCUGGCGGCGUGCUUCAUACAUGCAAGUCGAACGAGAAGCUGACUUCGGUCCGUGGAAAGUGGCGGACGGGAGAGUAUUAUGUAGGAAAUAUGCCCUUAGGCGGGGGACAACAGAGGGCCACUUAUGCUAAUACCCCAUCUGAGUGUGACUGACAUGUUCUUCUUGAAAACUCCGGUGCGUAAUGGUGAGCUUGCAUCUGCUUAGCUGGUUGGUAGUGUAAUGGACUAUCAAGGCGACGCUCAGCAGCUGGUUUGAGAGGAUGACCAGCCAGGAUGGGAGUGAGACACGGGCCAUACUCCGGCGGGAGGAGGCAGGAAGGAAGUAUGCGCAGUGGGCGAAAGCCGGACGCAGCAACGCCGCGUGAUCAAGUAAGCCCUGCUGGAUGUAAAGUUCUGUCAGUAGGGACGGAACUUGACGGUACCCACAGAGGAAGCGCCGGCUAACUCCGUG